This 402-nucleotide ribosomal RNA is filed under the name uncultured bacterium. RNAcentral's name for it is "bacterial SSU rRNA". It matches the Rfam family "Bacterial small subunit ribosomal RNA", at positions 355 to 774 of the family's 1533-position model. The record is from RNAcentral.
UAGGGAAUAUUGGACAAUGGGCGAAAGCCUGAUCCAGCCAUGCCGCGUGAGUGAUGAAGGCCUUAGGGUUGUAAAGCUCUUUCGCCAGGGACGAUAAUGACGGUACCUGGAUAAGAAGCCCCGGCUAACUUCGUGCCAGCAGCCGCGGUAAUACGAAUGGGGCUAGCGUUGUUCGGAAUCACUGGGCGUAAAGCGCAUGCAGGCGGAUCGUUAAGUCGGGGGUGAAAGCCCGAGGCUCAACCUCGGAACUGCCUUCGAUACUGGCGAUCUUGAGUCCGGGAGAGGUGAGUGGAACUCCGAGUGUAGAGGUGAAAUUCGUAGAUAUUCGGAAGAACACCAGUGGCGAAGGCGGCUCACUGGCCCGGUACUGACGCUGAGAUGCAAAAGCGUGGGGAGCAAACA